RNAcentral lists this long non-coding RNA (485 nucleotides) under Ananas comosus (pineapple). RNAcentral's name for it is "long non-coding RNA (ACOM_LNC033656)". Lineage: Eukaryota; Viridiplantae; Streptophyta; Magnoliopsida; Poales; Bromeliaceae. The record is from RNAcentral.
AGUGAGAGAGAGUAUAAGUUAGAGAGAGAGAGAGCAUAAUUAAAAAAAUAGAAAGAAAAAUAUAGUCGAAAUUAGAGGGAGUGAGAGAGUUGAAAUUUUAGAAAGAGAGAGAGAGAGAAAGCUUAGUUUAGAGAGAGAAAAAAAAGUUAAAUUUUAGAGAGAAAAAUAAGUUUAGAGAGAGAUAUAAUGUUAGAGUGUAAAGAAAAAUAAUAUCAAUUAGCCGGCGGGUAGGAAGAAAGAAAGAGAUUAGACAUAUUAUGAUUAUUUAAAUCCAUUAAUAUGAGGAUACCCACCCUCCCUCAAGGGAAUGAGAUUAGUAUUUUAAGGUGAAUCUUAUUCCCAAGUGAAUCAAAUAUUACCAACUGGAUUACUUAGUGCGUUUAGCCAAACACCGUCAUAUUUUUUUAUUCCUAUUGGAUUACUAGAAAUCUUUAAAAGAUAGCGCGAACCAAACGCACCCUUAUAUUAAUGUUUUACCUACCAUA